CAGCAGCCACGGUAAUACGAAGGGUGCAAGCGUUAAUCGGAAUUACUGGGCGUAAAGGGCGUGUAGGCGGCGGAUACAGUCAGACGUGAAAUUCCUUGGCUUAACCUGGGGGCUGCGUUUGAUACGUAUUUGCUAGAGUGAGGAAGAGGGUUGUGGAAUUCCCAGUGUAGAGGUGAAAUUCGUAGAUAUUGGGAAGAACACCGGUGGCGAAGGCGGCAACCUGGUCCUUGACUGACGCUGAGGCGCGAAAGCGUGGGGAGCAAACAGGAUUAGAUACCCGUGUAGUCCCUGUCUCUUAUAA
RNAcentral lists this ribosomal RNA (301 nucleotides) under uncultured bacterium. RNAcentral's name for it is "partial 16S ribosomal RNA". It matches the Rfam family "Bacterial small subunit ribosomal RNA", at positions 509 to 809 of the family's 1533-position model. The record is from RNAcentral.